Cucurbita moschata (crookneck pumpkin) is the source of this 608-nucleotide long non-coding RNA. RefSeq lists it as uncharacterized. The record is from RefSeq and is a predicted model, not a curated record. Lineage: Eukaryota; Viridiplantae; Streptophyta; Magnoliopsida; Cucurbitales; Cucurbitaceae. The transcript is spliced from 2 exons.
UUAUUUAAUGUUUCUGUGUUUAAGUUCUAUGAUUUAUAUGUAUUGUUAUGUUCUAAAUGGAAUUGUUGGUUUCCAGUCGCUGGAGCUUUGGGACAUGACAGAAAACAAGAGAAGGACACUGCUUGCUCGUGACAAGCUGGUAUCAGCAUUGGCUGCAUCAAAUGAUAGCCGUGUCAAACUCUGGCAGUAACGAAUUCAACGAGCUCUCUUCUCCAACCAAAAUGAUUGAGACAAGGGGAAGGCACUAUGGGAAUACGAUAAGACCAAUUUGACGGAAGUGGAUGAGGUGGCACAAAAGUAACUAGGUGGGUCCCACAGAGUGUUACUAGAAAAAAGUCAAUGGACAAAGUGAUUGACUAUGGAAGGUCUUUCGGGAGACAGAAACAUCGGGAAGCUUUUCACUUUGUCGACACCUUGUCCAACCAUCAUUCUUAUCCUAUUCCUUUUAUUAUCAUUAUUUUCAUUAAAUUAUACAAACUUAGUUUAUAAUAAUUUUUUAAAAAAUAAAUUUUGUUUCUGUUAAAAUUAGUUUUAAAUGUGUUCCUUAAAUGUCUUAAAUUUGUAUCUAAACUAAGUAAAGUAUAUUAGAAUAAAGUUGUAAUGGGUCA